CAUAUUUUAUUUCGAGUAAUUUUGAAGUAUAUUAGUUGUGAGUUUUUAAAUGUAUCUAACCAAAAGGCGUUGUUGAUUUUUUUUUUAUUUUUUUUUAAAUGGGCCUGGGAAGACAAUAAAAAAAACUUAAGAAAAGAGAGAAGAAAAUGCGUGUCGUUCACGUGAUCCCUCGUGAUGGACAUGCUGCUAUGUCUGACACUCGGUACUUUCGACAUUUUUGUUGGUGUCUUAACGAUCGACGAAGCAAAACCACAGCCACUCCAUGUUUCCCC
This 272-nucleotide long non-coding RNA is filed under the name Capsella rubella. RNAcentral's name for it is "long non-coding RNA (CRUB_LNC004540)". Lineage: Eukaryota; Viridiplantae; Streptophyta; Magnoliopsida; Brassicales; Brassicaceae. The record is from RNAcentral.